UGGGGAAUUUUGGACAAUGGGCGCAAGCCUGAUCCAGCCAUGCCGCGUGCGGGAAGAAGGCCUUCGGGUUGUAAACCGCUUUUGUCAGGGAAGAAAUCUUCUGAGUUAAUACCUCGGGAGGAUGACGGUACCUGAAGAAUAAGCACCGGCUAACUACGUGCCAGCAGCCGCGGUAAUACGUAGGGUGCAAGCGUUAAUCGGAAUUACUGGGCGUAAAGCGUGCGCAGGCGGUUUUGUAAGACAGAGGUGAAAUCCCCGGGCUCAACCUGGGAACUGCCUUUGUGACUGCAAGGCUUGAGUGCGGCAGAGGGGGAUGGAAUUCCGCGUGUAGCAGUGAAAUGCGUAGAUAUGCGGAGGAACACCGAUGGCGAAGGCAAUCCCCUGGGCCUGCACUGACGCUCAUGCACGAAAGCGUGGGGAGCAAACAGGAUUAGAUACCCCUGGUAGUCCACGCCCUAAACGAUGUCAACUGGUUGUUGGGAAGGUUCCUUCUCAGUAACGUAGCUAACGCGUGAAGUUGACCGCCUGGGGAGUACGGCCGCAAGGUUGAAACUUAAAUGAAUUGACGGGGUCAUAGCUG
Molecule: ribosomal RNA, 580 nt
Filed under: uncultured bacterium
Lineage: Bacteria
Description: partial 16S ribosomal RNA
Rfam family: Bacterial small subunit ribosomal RNA
Source: RNAcentral